This 737-nucleotide ribosomal RNA is filed under the name uncultured fungus. Its description in RNAcentral is "eukaryotic LSU rRNA". The stretch from base 254 to 407 matches the Rfam family "5.8S ribosomal RNA". The record is from RNAcentral. Lineage: Eukaryota; Fungi.
CGUAACAAGGUUUCUGUAGGUGAACCUGCAGAAGGAUCAUUAGUGAAGAUUUGGGCAGGCCAUACGGACGCCAAAAAGUGUCCCUGGCCGCCUACACCCACUAUACAUCCACAAACCCGUGUGCACUGUCUUGGAGAAAGGCUUCAGAGAAGUUUUUUGUGGCCUCUCUUGGGGUCUUUCUUCGCUACAAACUCGAAUGGUUAGUAUGAACGUGGAACUUGGUUGGACCGUCACUGGCCAACAAACUAUACACAACUUUCGACAACGGAUCUCUUGGUUCUCCCAUCGAUGAAGAACGCAGCGAAACGCGAUAGGUAAUGUGAAUUGCAGAAUUCCGUGAAUCAUCGAAUCUUUGAACGCACCUUGCGCUCUAUGGCAAUCCGUAGAGCAUGCCUGUUUGAGUGCCAUGAAAUCUCCCACCCCAAGCGGUUUUUAAAUGAAACGGCUUGGCGGAUGGGGUCUGGAUGGGUGCCUCUGCCUGCGCUACCUAGCACAGGCUCGCCCGAAAUGCAUGAGCGCCUUGAGACACUUUGCAUCCGCCUCUCUGUUUGGGAGGAGGCGGCCAAGCAGUGUUUUUCUCCUGGCAUGGCAUGAUACGUCAUUUGCUAUGUCGCCUAAAGGAGGAAUGUUUGGUUGUGUCUGCGUGUGCUUCGAACUUGCCUCUGUGGCACAUCCCAAUUUCACUUCUGGUCUCAAAUCAGGUAGGAUCACCCGCUGAACUUAAGCAUAUCAAUACG